AGUGAACGCUGGCGGUAGGCCUAACACAUGCAAGUCGAACGGCAGCACAGUAAGAGCUUGCUCUUACGGGUGGCGAGUGGCGGACGGGUGAGGAAUACAUCGGAAUCUACUUUUUCGUGGGGGAUAACGUAGGGAAACUUACGCUAAUACCGCAUACGACCUACGGGUGAAAGCAGGGGAUCUUCGGACCUUGCGCGAUUGAAUGAGCCGAUGUCGGAUUAGCUAGUUGGCGGGGUAAAGGCCCACCAAGGCGACGAUCCGUAGCUGGUCUGAGAGGAUGAUCAGCCACACUGGAACUGAGACACGGUCCAGACUCCUACGGGAGGCAGCAGUGGGGAAUAUUGGACAAUGGGCGCAAGCCUGAUCCAGCCAUACCGCGUGGGUGAAGAAGGCCUUCGGGUUGUAAAGCCCUUUUGUCGGGCAAGAAAAGCAGCAGGUUAAUACCCCGCUGUUCUGACGGUACCCAAAGAAUAAGCACCGGCUAACUUCGUG
Molecule: ribosomal RNA, 492 nt
Filed under: uncultured bacterium
Lineage: Bacteria
Description: partial 16S ribosomal RNA
Rfam family: Bacterial small subunit ribosomal RNA
Source: RNAcentral